UACGUAGGGUGCGAGCGUUAAUCGGAAUUACUGGGCGUAAAGCGUGCGCAGGCGGUUGGUCAAGUCAGAUGUGAAAGCCCCGGGCUCAACCCGGGAACUGCGUUUGAAACUGGCCGGCUAGAGUUUGGCAGAGGGGGGUAGAAUUCCACGUGUAGCAGUGAAAUGCGUAGAGAUGUGGAGGAAUACCGAUGGCGAAGGCAGCCCCCUGGGUCAAAACUGACGCUCAUGCACGAAAGCGUGGGGAGCAAACAGG
RNAcentral lists this ribosomal RNA (253 nucleotides) under uncultured bacterium. Its description in RNAcentral is "partial 16S ribosomal RNA". It matches the Rfam family "Bacterial small subunit ribosomal RNA", at positions 524 to 776 of the family's 1533-position model. The record is from RNAcentral.